This 264-nucleotide ribosomal RNA is filed under the name uncultured prokaryote. RNAcentral's name for it is "partial 16S ribosomal RNA". It matches the Rfam family "Bacterial small subunit ribosomal RNA", at positions 524 to 788 of the family's 1533-position model. The record is from RNAcentral.
UACGAAGGGGCUAGCGUUGUUCGGAAUUACUGGGCGUAAAGCGCACGUAGGCGGAUUGUUUAGUGAGGGGUGAAAUCCCAGGGCUCAACCCUGGAACUGCCUCUCAUACUGGCAAUCUCGAGUUCGAGAGAGGUGAGUGGAAUUCCGAGUGUAGAGGUGAAAUUCGUAGAUAUUCGGAGGAACACCAGUGGCGAAGGCGGCUCACUGGCUCGAUACUGACGCUGAGGUGCGAAAGCGUGGGGAGCAAACAGGAUUAGAUACCCU